AGCUUUUAAACCAGGGUUGGGUACAGUGUGUUGUGGGUUAAAUUGUGUCCCCACAAAAGAUAUGUUGAAAUCCUGGGAUAUUGUUAUUCAUAAUAAACACAUAUUGGUUCAUCUCAUUCCUUGGCAAAGCUCCUAAAACUCUUGGAAUUUCUUAAGUGAUAAAAGCAAUAAAGGUGAAAGGAGAAUCUUGUGCCAUUCAUAACAAGCCCCUUUCAAUCACACCUGAGUUUGUGUUAAUAAGCUGAUUUUUGGAAAGUCCCUAAAGAUAGAGAGCUGGUUGCCAGGGGGAACUAACCAUAUGAUAAGAAGGUUAGAACUUUUAGCUCCACCCCUGACCUUUUAAGGAAGAGGAGAAAGACUGAAAAUAGAAGGUUGAGUUGAUCACCAACAAACAAUGAUUUAAUCAAAAAUGCCUAUAUAAUGAAACCUCAAUAAAAACUGAAGAGGACAGGAUUCAGAGAAUCUCUAGGUUGGUGAAAAAUAGUGGUGUUGGGAGAGUUGGUAUACCCAGUGAGGGUAUGGAAGCUCUGUGCCACCCACCCCCCAGCCCAAUACCUUGACCUGUGCAUCUCUUCCAUCUGGCUGUUUCUGAGUUUUAUGUGAAGACUCGGGGACACAGGGACACACAAGGGAAAUGCGAUGUGACUAUGGAGACACAGAUUAGAGUGAUGGGUCCACAGGUCUCAGGGUCCUCAAACAACCACCAGAAGAUAGGAAGAGGCAAGGAUCAUACCCUAGAGCCUUCAGAGACAGCAUGGCCCAGCUGACAUCUUGAAUUCAGACAUCUAGCCUCCAGAACCUCCAAAGAAUAAAUGUCUAUUGUUUUAAACCAUCCAGUUUGUGGUGCUUUGUUACAAUCUCCCUAGGAAACUAAUACAGCGUGGGUGGAAUAUAAGGCCAGACAGGUAGGAGUUUGUCGGCCUCGGGACACUCUCACAUUGCUCUUGCUUUAGCAUCUUAGCAAGGAUGCCUAGACCUUGGCCUAAUACUUUCUAGAUUGUCUUCUUAAAACUUGAACAUGGAAAAACAGUUAAUUAGUUGGAGUUAAUUAGACUUACAGUUAAUUAGCUGGAGACCUACAGUUAAUUAGUUGGAGAUGUUGAAGCUGCUUUGACAGUACUCUGUAGGAUCAGGAGGCUCAGAGGGUUAGGAAUUUUGAAAAAAUGAGAGUAACAACCCCAAACCUGACUGUAUUUCCUGGGAGGGCCGAGAAUAUAUACUCUCACAGUCAGAUUUAGCCACAGAAACACUGCCUUGGGACUGGUCUCCCUCAUGCAAACAGAGACGGUGGGACUUCGGCAGAGAGAGUAUACAGGCCAGGUGUCAGCACUUACCAUGAGAAAGAUGAUGGCACUCAUUUAAAUAAAUCAUGAUAUUCAUAGAGACAAGAUGAAGGAUGAA
This 1401-nucleotide long non-coding RNA is filed under the name Homo sapiens (human). RNAcentral's name for it is "HSALNT0349393". The record is from RNAcentral. Lineage: Eukaryota; Metazoa; Chordata; Mammalia; Primates; Hominidae.